GAGGAUUUAGCUCAGUGGUAGAGUGCUUGCCUAGCAAGCACAAGGCCCUGGGUUCAAUCCUCA
Molecule: transfer RNA, 63 nt
Filed under: Neotoma lepida (desert woodrat)
Lineage: Eukaryota; Metazoa; Chordata; Mammalia; Rodentia; Cricetidae
Rfam family: tRNA
About the family: Transfer RNA (tRNA) molecules are approximately 80 nucleotides in length.
Source: Rfam by way of RNAcentral